Molecule: ribosomal RNA, 279 nt
Filed under: uncultured bacterium
Lineage: Bacteria
Description: partial 16S ribosomal RNA
Rfam family: Bacterial small subunit ribosomal RNA
Source: RNAcentral
UGCCAGCAGCCGCGGUAAUACGGAGGGAUCGAGCGUUGCUCGGAAUUACUGGGCGUAAAGGGCGCGUAGGCGGUCUUGUAUGUCGGGCGUGAAAGCCCCGGGCUCAACCCGGGAUGUGCGUCCGAAACUGCAAGACUAGAGUCUCGGAGAGGGAGGUGGAAUUCCAGGUGUAGCGGUGGAAUGCGUAGAUAUCUGGAAGAACACCGGUGGCGAAGGCGACCUCCUGGACGAUGACUGACGCUGAGGCGCGAAAGCGUGGGUAGCAAACAGGAUUAGAUA